GGACAGAUUCUGCGCUGCUGGCGCCACCCAACCCCGCCAGGACCGGGAGGUAGCAACGGUAAGUGGUUAGUCGGAGAGACGCAGGUGAUUUGUCCCUC
Molecule: signal recognition particle RNA, 98 nt
Filed under: Spirochaetales bacterium
Lineage: Bacteria; Pseudomonadati; Spirochaetota; Spirochaetia; Spirochaetales
Description: signal recognition particle sRNA small type
Rfam family: Bacterial small signal recognition particle RNA
About the family: The signal recognition particle (SRP) is a universally conserved ribonucleoprotein involved in the co-translational targeting of proteins to membranes.
Source: RNAcentral